AUUGAACGCUGGCGGCAGGCCUAACACAUGCAAGUCGAACGAGUGGCGGACGGGUGAGUAAUGUCUGGUAAAAUGCAUGAUGGAGGGGGAUAACUACUGGAAACGGUAGCUAAUACCGCAUCCCAUCGGAUGUGCCCAGAUGGGAGUAGCUUGGAGGUGGGGUAAAGGCUCACCUAGGCGACGAUCCCUAGCUGGUCGGAGAGGAUGACCAUCCAAACUGGAACUGAGACACGGUCCAGCCUCCUACGGGAGGCAGCAGUAGGUAAUAUUGAACAAGGGGCGCAAGCCGGAUGCAGCCCUGCCGCGAGUAUGAAGAAGGCCUUCGGGUUGUAAAGUACUUUCAGCGGGGAGGCGUUACCCGCAGAAGAAGCACCGGCUAACUCCGUGCCAGCAGCCGCGGUAAUAC
RNAcentral lists this ribosomal RNA (406 nucleotides) under uncultured bacterium. RNAcentral's name for it is "partial 16S ribosomal RNA". It matches the Rfam family "Bacterial small subunit ribosomal RNA", at positions 30 to 526 of the family's 1533-position model. The record is from RNAcentral.